UUUCUUCGGAAAUGGAUUAGCGGCGAACGGGUGAGGAACAAGUGAAGAAUCUGCCCUCCACUUUGGGAUAACACAGGGAAACCUGUGCUAAUACCGAAUAUUGAAACAUAAGUGGCAUCACUGAGUUUUGAAAGAAUUUCGGUGGAGGAUGACUUCGCGGCCUAUCAGCUAGUUGGUGAGGUAAUGGCUCACCAAGGCAACGACGGGUAGCCGGCCUGAGAGGGCGACCGGCCACACUGGGACUGAGACACGGCCCAGACUCCUACGGGAGGCAGCAGUGGGGAAUAUUGGGCAAUGGAGGAAACUCUGACCCAGCGACGCCGCGUGCGGGAUGAAGGCCUUCGGGUUGUAAACCGCUUUCAGUAGGGAAGAAGCGAAAGUGACGGUACCUACAAAAGAAGCACCGGCUAACUAUGUGCCAGCAGCCGCGGUAAUACAUAGGGUGCAAGCGUUGUCCGGAAUUAUUGGGCGUAAAGAGCUCGUAGGUUGUUUGUUACGUCGGAUGUGAAAACCUGAGGCUUAACCUCAGGCCUGCAUUCGAUACGGGCAAA
Molecule: ribosomal RNA, 551 nt
Filed under: uncultured bacterium
Lineage: Bacteria
Description: bacterial SSU rRNA
Rfam family: Bacterial small subunit ribosomal RNA
Source: RNAcentral